Molecule: ribosomal RNA, 2930 nt
Filed under: Serratia marcescens
Lineage: Bacteria; Pseudomonadati; Pseudomonadota; Gammaproteobacteria; Enterobacterales; Yersiniaceae
Description: bacterial LSU rRNA
Rfam family: Bacterial large subunit ribosomal RNA
Source: RNAcentral
GGGUUGUGAGGUUAAGUGACUAAGCGUACACGGUGGAUGCCUAGGCAGUCAGAGGCGAUGAAGGGCGUGCUAAUCUGCGAAAAGCGUCGGUAAGGUGAUAUGAACCGUUAUAACCGGCGAUACCCGAAUGGGGAAACCCAGUGUGUUUCGACACACUAUCAUGUCAUGAAUACAUAGUGGCAUGAGGCGAACCGGGGGAACUGAAACAUCUAAGUACCCCGAGGAAAAGAAAUCAACCGAGAUUCCCCCAGUAGCGGCGAGCGAACGGGAGGAGCCCAGAACCUGAAUCGGCUUGUGUUUAGUGGAAGCGUCUGGAAAGUCGCGCAGCAAGGGUGAUAGCCCCGUACACUAAAAUGCACAGGUCGUGAGUUCGAUGAGUAGGGCGGGACACGUGACAUCCUGUCUGAAUAUGGGGGGACCAUCCUCCAAGGCUAAAUACUCCUGACUGACCGAUAGUGAACCAGUACCGUGAGGGAAAGGCGAAAAGAACCCCGGCGAGGGGAGUGAAAUAGAACCUGAAACCGUGUACGUACAAGCAGUGGGAGCACCUUCGUGGUGUGACUGCGUACCUUUUGUAUAAUGGGUCAGCGACUUAUAUUUUGUAGCAAGGUUAACCGUAUAGGGGAGCCGUAGGGAAACCGAGUCUUAACUGGGCGAAUAGUUGCAAGGUAUAGACCCGAAACCCGGUGAUCUAGCCAUGGGCAGGUUGAAGGUUGGGUAACACUAACUGGAGGACCGAACCGACUAAUGUUGAAAAUUAGCGGAUGACUUGUGGCUGGGGUGAAAGGCCAAUCAAACCGGGAGAUAGCUGGUUCUCCCGAAAGCUAUUUAGGUAGCGCCUCGUGAACUCAUCUUCGGGGGUAGAGCACUGUUUCGGCUAGGGGGCCAUCCCGGCUUACCAAACCGAUGCAAACUCCGAAUACCGAAGAAUGUUAUCACGGGAGACACACGGCGGGUGCUAACGUCCGUCGUGAAGAGGGAAACAACCCAGACCGCCAGCUAAGGUCCCAAAGUCAUGGUUAAGUGGGAAACGAUGUGGGAAGGCAUAGACAGCCAGGAUGUUGGCUUAGAAGCAGCCAUCAUUUAAAGAAAGCGUAAUAGCUCACUGGUCGAGUCGGCCUGCGCGGAAGAUGUAACGGGGCUAAACCAUGCACCGAAGCUGCGGCAGCGACGCUUAGGCGUUGUUGGGUAGGGGAGCGUUCUGUAAGCCGUUGAAGGUGGCCUGUGAGGGUUGCUGGAGGUAUCAGAAGUGCGAAUGCUGACAUAAGUAACGAUAAAGCGGGUGAAAAGCCCGCUCGCCGGAAGACCAAGGGUUCCUGUCCAACGUUAAUCGGGGCAGGGUGAGUCGACCCUAAGGCGAGGCUGAAAAGCGUAGUCGAUGGGAAACAGGUUAAUAUUCCUGUACUUGGUGUUACUGCGAAGGGGGGACGGAGAAGGCUAGGCUGGCCGGGCGACGGUUGUCCCGGUUUAAGCGUGUAGGGGGUGUGACCUGGUAAAUCCGGUUGCAUAUCAACCCUGAGGCGUGAUGACGAUGCACUACGGUGCAGAAGUAGUUGAUGCCCUGCUUCCAGGAAAAGCCUCUAAGCUCCAGGUAACAUUAAAUCGUACCCCAAACCGACACAGGUGGUCAGGUAGAGAAUACCAAGGCGCUUGAGAGAACUCGGGUGAAGGAACUAGGCAAAAUGGUGCCGUAACUUCGGGAGAAGGCACGCUGGCAUGUAGGUGAAGUCCCUCGCGGAUGGAGCUGAAGCCAGUCGAAGAUACCAGCUGGCUGCAACUGUUUAAUAAAAACACAGCACUGUGCAAACACGAAAGUGGACGUAUACGGUGUGACGCCUGCCCGGUGCUGGAAGGUUAAUUGAUGGGGUCAGCCGCAAGGCGAAGCUCUUGAUCGAAGCCCCAGUAAACGGCGGCCGUAACUAUAACGGUCCUAAGGUAGCGAAAUUCCUUGUCGGGUAAGUUCCGACCUGCACGAAUGGCGUAAUGAUGGCCAGGCUGUCUCCACCCGAGACUCAGUGAAAUUGAACUCGCUGUGAAGAUGCAGUGUACCCGCGGCAAGACGGAAAGACCCCGUGAACCUUUACUAUAGCUUGACACUGAACAUUGAGCCUUGAUGUGUAGGAUAGGUGGGAGGCUUUGAAGCGUGGACGCCAGUCUGCGUGGAGCCAUCCUUGAAAUACCACCCUUUAAUGUUUGAUGUUCUAACUCGGCCCCAUAAUCUGGGGUGAGGACAGUGUCUGGUGGGUAGUUUGACUGGGGCGGUCUCCUCCCAAAGAGUAACGGAGGAGCACGAAGGUUAGCUAAUCACGGUCGGACAUCGUGAGGUUAGUGCAAAGGCAUAAGCUAGCUUGACUGCGAGAGAGUGACGGCUCGAGCAGGUACGAAAGUAGGUCUUAGUGAUCCGGUGGUUCUGAAUGGAAGGGCCAUCGCUCAACGGAUAAAAGGUACUCCGGGGAUAACAGGCUGAUACCGCCCAAGAGUUCAUAUCGACGGCGGUGUUUGGCACCUCGAUGUCGGCUCAUCACAUCCUGGGGCUGAAGUAGGUCCCAAGGGUAUGGCUGUUCGCCAUUUAAAGUGGUACGCGAGCUGGGUUUAGAACGUCGUGAGACAGUUCGGUCCCUAUCUGCCGUGGGCGUUGGAAGAUUGAGAGGGGUUGCUCCUAGUACGAGAGGACCGGAGUGAACGCACCACUGGUGUUCGGGUUGUCAUGCCAAUGGCAUUGCCCGGUAGCUAAGUGCGGAAAAGAUAAGCGCUGAAAGCAUCUAAGCGCGAAACUUGCCUCAAGAUGAGUCUUCCCUGGGCCUUCAAGGCCCCUGAAGGAACGUUUAAGACUAAGACGUUGAUAGGCUGGGUGUGUAAGUGCAGCGAUGCAUUGAGCUAACCAGUACUAAUGAUCCGUGAGGCUUAACCUUACAACACCGAAGGUGUUU